Molecule: transfer RNA, 76 nt
Filed under: Micromonospora chaiyaphumensis
Lineage: Bacteria; Bacillati; Actinomycetota; Actinomycetes; Micromonosporales; Micromonosporaceae
Description: tRNA_Gln_CTG
Rfam family: tRNA
About the family: Transfer RNA (tRNA) molecules are approximately 80 nucleotides in length.
Source: RNAcentral
UGCGAGCUGGUGCAACCAGGCAGCACAUCCGAUUCUGGAUCGGGGAAUUGAGGUUCGAAUCCUCAGCUCGCAGCGA